UCCCAGACUCCUACGGGAGGCAGCAGUGGGGGAUAUUGCACAAUGGGGGGAACCCUGAUGCAGCGACGCCGCGUGGGUGAAGGAGCGUUUCGGCGCGUAAAGCCCUAUCGGCAGGGAAGAAGGAGGACGGUACCUGACUAAGAAGCCCCGGCUAACUACGUGCCAGCAGCCGCGGGAAUACGUAGGGGGCAAGCGUUAUCCGGAUUCACUGGGUGUAAAGGGAGCGUAGACGGCGACGCAAGUCUGGAGUGAAAGCCCGGGGCCCAACCCCGGGACUGCUCUGGAAACUGCGGCGCUGGAGUACGGGAGGGGCAGGCGGAAUUCCUGGUGUAGCGGUGAAAUGCGUAGAUAUCAGGAGGAACACCGGCGGCGAAGGCGGCCUGCUGGACCGUGACUGACGUUGAGGCUCGAGAGCGUGGGGAGCUAACAGGAUUAGAUACCCGAGUA
Molecule: ribosomal RNA, 447 nt
Filed under: uncultured bacterium
Lineage: Bacteria
Description: partial 16S ribosomal RNA
Rfam family: Bacterial small subunit ribosomal RNA
Source: RNAcentral